Non-coding RNA from Potamilus streckersoni, 73 nucleotides. Lineage: Eukaryota; Metazoa; Mollusca; Bivalvia; Unionida; Unionidae. The record is from the annotation of a GenBank genome assembly.
GUUCCGAUGGCCUAGUGGUUAGAACGUCCGUCUGGGAUGCUGCAGGUCUCGGGUUUGAACCCCGGCCGAAUCA